GACGAACGCUGGCGGCGUGCUUAACACAUGCAAGUCGAACGGAAAGGCCCCUUUGGGGGUACUCGAGUGGCGAACGGGUGAGUAACACGUGAGUAACCUGCCCUUGACUUCGGGAUAACUUCAGGAAACUGGGGCUAAUACCGGAUAGGAAUCCUUGCUGCAUGGUGGGGGUUGGAAAGCUUCGGCGGUUUUGGAUGGACUCGCGGCUUAUCAGCUUGUUGGUGGGGUAGUGGCUUACCAAGGCUUUGACGGGUAGCCGGCCUGAGAGGGCGACCGGCCACAGUGGGACUGAGAUACGGCCCAGACUCCUACGGGAGGCAGCAGUGGGGAAUAUUGCACAAUGGGCGGAAGCCUGAUGCAGCAACGCCGCGGGCGGGAUGACGGCCUUCGGGUUGUAAACCGCUUUCAGCAGGGGCGAAGCUUGUGGUGACGGUACCUGCAGAAGAAGCACCGGCUAACUACGUG
RNAcentral lists this ribosomal RNA (465 nucleotides) under uncultured bacterium. RNAcentral's name for it is "partial 16S ribosomal RNA". It matches the Rfam family "Bacterial small subunit ribosomal RNA", at positions 28 to 507 of the family's 1533-position model. The record is from RNAcentral.